This 460-nucleotide ribosomal RNA is filed under the name uncultured bacterium. RNAcentral's name for it is "partial 16S ribosomal RNA". It matches the Rfam family "Bacterial small subunit ribosomal RNA", at positions 338 to 795 of the family's 1533-position model. The record is from RNAcentral.
CCUACGGGCGGCAGCAGUGAGGAAUAUUGGUCAAUGGGCGCGAGCCUGAACCAGCCAAGUAGCGUGAAGGAUGACUGCCCUACGGGUUGUAAACUUCUUUUAUAAGGGAAUAAAGUGAAGCACGUGUGCUUUUUUGUAUGUACUUUAUGAAUAAGGAUCGGCUAACUCCGUGCCAGCAGCCGCGGUAAUACGGAGGAUCCGAGCGUUAUCCGGAUUUAUUGGGUUUAAAGGGAGCGUAGGUGGGUUGUUAAGUCAGUUGUGAAAGUUUGCGGCUCAACCGUAAAAUUGCAAUUGAUACUGGCAGCCUUGAGUACAGUUGAGGUAGGCGGAAUUCGUGGUGUAGCGGUGAAAUGCUUAGAUAUCACGAAGAACUCCGAUUGCGAAGGCAGCUUACUAGACUGCAACUGACGCUGAUGCUCGAAAGUGUGGGUAUCAAACAGGAUUAGAUACCCGGGUAGUC